UACGGAGGGUGCAAGCGUUAUCCGGAUUCACUGGGUUUAAAGGGUGCGUAGGUGGGUUGGUAAGUCAGUGGUGAAAUCUCCAAGCUUAACUUGGAAACUGCCGUUGAUACUAUCAAUCUUGAAUCUCGUGGAGGUAAGCGGAAUAUGUCAUGUAGCGGUGAAAUGCUUAGAUAUGACAUAGAACACCGAUAGCGAAGGCAGCUUGCUACACGAGUAUUGACACUGAGGCACGAAAGCGUGGGGAUCAAGCAGG
RNAcentral lists this ribosomal RNA (253 nucleotides) under uncultured bacterium. RNAcentral describes it as "partial 16S ribosomal RNA". It matches the Rfam family "Bacterial small subunit ribosomal RNA", at positions 524 to 776 of the family's 1533-position model. The record is from RNAcentral.